RNAcentral lists this ribosomal RNA (492 nucleotides) under uncultured bacterium. RNAcentral describes it as "partial 16S ribosomal RNA". It matches the Rfam family "Bacterial small subunit ribosomal RNA", at positions 29 to 507 of the family's 1533-position model. The record is from RNAcentral.
AGUGAACGCUGGCGGUAGGCCUAACACAUGCAAGUCGAACGGCAGCACAGUAAGAGCUUGCUCUUACGGGUGGCGAGUGGCGGACGGGUGAGGAAUACAUCGGAAUCUACUUUUUCGUGGGGGAUAACGUAGGGAAACUUACGCUAAUACCGCAUACGACCUACGGGUGAAAGCAGGGGAUCUUCGGACCUUGCGCGAUUGAAUGAGCCGAUGUCGGACUAGCUAGUUGGCGGGGUAAAGGCCCACCAAGGCGACGAUCCGUAGCUGGUCUGAGAGGAUGAUCAGCCACACUGGAACUGAGACACGGUCCAGACUCCUACGGGAGGCAGCAGUGGGGAAUAUUGGACAAUGGGCGCAAGCCUGAUCCAGCCAUAUCGCGUGUGUGAAGAAGGCCUUCGGGUUGUAAAGCCCUUUUGUUGGGAAAGAAAAGCAGCAGGUUAAUACCCCGCUGUUCUGACGGUACCCAAAGAAUAAGCACCGGCUAACUUCGUG